This 238-nucleotide long non-coding RNA is filed under the name Capsicum annuum. RNAcentral's name for it is "long non-coding RNA (CANN_LNC017160)". Lineage: Eukaryota; Viridiplantae; Streptophyta; Magnoliopsida; Solanales; Solanaceae. The record is from RNAcentral.
UUGUGGAUUUGCUGUGAAGUGGUGAGCAUCCAUCUUUCAGAAGGCCCGAUCAUUCACUAGUUUCAUUACUAUUCUAGUACUUAGGAUUUCCUUUUUGGUCAUAGUCGGGGGCAUGUCCCGACUCAGUUGGUAUUCUGAAUUUAGAGGCUUUUGUGAACAAGUGUGGGUUGGAUUCUUGGUUUUGACUCUUUAAUCUUUCAUUUGAAUUAUUUAUCUUUAUUUCUAUCUUGAUUGGCUU